AGGUUGCCUUGUACCUAGGCAAGUGUUACACUGCUGGGAGAACAGCAGCCGAUAGCUGGUUGGUAUUCUGGGCCUGGUUCAUGCCAACUCUGUUGUUAACUAUACCAGGAUGCCAGCAUAGUUGUUUGUCCAGUGGGGUUAAAUCUGCAUGAGCAUGACUUUGCAGGGAGAAACCUAAAAAUCCAGACGUUUCUGAGUGUUUCUGGUGCAACAGGUUUGACUAGUGCGAAGUUGCCUAAAUCACACCCAGGAAACAGAACAAAGAAUGACUUGAAAGUAGGGCAUCUUUGGCCCUCCUGAAGAGAGGAAAUUAAAGGCGGACAGUCUGUGUAUGGAGUUUUCAGAUACCUUCACCUAAGUGAGAAACCUGCCUUCAUCAGGACCUCAGAUGUCUGACAGCCCUGUGUGACACCAAGAGAAGUAGUGGUUGAAACUACUGUCAAUGGACUGUUGCAUUGAAAUUUUGGAUCAUGUCUCACAUUUUAAUCAGGAAAAUAGGACCCCAGAGGAAUAAAUUCUGCAGGUCCCAAAGGCACAUAAAAAAGUGGCUCAGUGCCUAGGAAUUCACAUAAAGGAAAACAACCUGGAUCCCAUUGAGGAUAUUACAUUUAGUCAUCACGUCUCCUUAGACUCCUCUUGGCUGUGACAGCUUCUUAGACUUUCUUUGUUUUUGAUGAGCUUGAGUUUUGGGUCAGGUGUUUUGUAAAAAGUCCCUUCAAUUAGGAUUGAGUUUUUCUCAGGAUUAGGCUAGGCAUUAAGGAAUUUUGAGAGAACACAGAAGUAAAGUGCCAUUCUCAUCAUGUAUCAAGAGUGUAUACUAUCAAUAUGAUUUUCUCCUAUUGAUGUUAAUCUUGAUCACCUGGCUGAGGUCUUAUUUGCCAGUUUUCUCCACUGUAAAGUUACUCCCCCUCACCCAACACUGUACUCUUUGGGAAUAAAGUCACUAUGUGAAGCCCAUAAUUAAGGAGAGGGGAGUUGUGUUCUCCUUGAGGGUAGAAGGUCUACAUAAGUUAUUUGGAAUUCUUCAGAAAGAAAUUGGUCUCUUCUCCCUCAUUUAUUCAAUUUAUACUUUAGGAAAAAAAUCCAAUAAUACUUAAUUUUGUUAAAGUGUUCCAGAUUUGGCCUUUGGGAGCUGUUUCAGGUGGCUCCUAUGUCCCUUCAAUAUGCCCCCAUCAUUGUGAGGUUGUUUUAAGCACUUCUCACUAUGGCCCUAUACGAUGGUUCAGGCUCAUCUUGUAUUUUUCCUGUCCCAGUCCCAGAGUCAACCAUUUGGUUGUAAGUUUUAUCCUGGUACUCACAAGGAGCCCUGCUUCCUUUAUUGGAGAAUAAUACUAAGGAACCAAGAUCUGGGCACUAGAUGUGCUCUUGGUACUGAGGUUUUGUUGCUUCUAGGCCCUAUCAGCUGAUAGAACACUGAAGUAUAUAUGUAUGCAUAUAUAAGGAUCCUAACCAGGAUCCUUAGUUUAUAGCCCCCUAUAUUCUAUAAAUGUUCCACUUUUAAUAAUGACAUUUUAUUCUAUGGUCUUUGUUUAUUCUCUUUCAUCUAGAAUAGUGGUUGAGCUGUUGUCUUUUAUAGCAGAUGCUGUAGUUCCCAGAUGACUGAUUAUUUUUACCCUAUGAGCUCACAGUAGAGGAUGGGAAUUUUGUGUCAGCUGCCGGUAGAGAGGAGCCAAGCCCAGGCCCUGGUGUCCUAAAGAGUUGAAGGAGAAGAGAGAGAGCCUUAAGGCACAGAACCUCUGAGUUAGAAUCAGGGCUUCACCAGAGCAGCAGAUGGUCAAACUGCUUCUCCUUCCCCUCAGUUGCAAUUCUCUCAAGAACUCCAGGUGCUAGUAAGUAAGGUUGCAUUAUGCUGGCCACUCCAGCAAGUGAUGAGUUGAACAUGAGGCAAUGAAUAGGAUAGGGGAAAAGAACAGAAGUUUCGUCACCACCAAGAUUACCCCUACUCCCAUGGCACUCUACCCUUUUCUACACUGGACUUCCAUUUCUUGCCCUUGUAUAGUGGGACCCAAUCAUGAUCUGUUUCUCCAAGGGACUCUUCAUAUUUAAUUUCUCAGAUCUCUAACUUCCCUCUUAUUUGUGUAAUACCUCCAGGGCUGAGUUAGAGGAAGAGGCAAUAGCCUAUGGUAAUUACUCAUCUUGUCAAACUGGUCAUUUAAUAGAUACCCUUUAUCGGUUUAUUAGUUUUAUUAACUGAAUUCUGUUAGACAUUGGGGAUAAGUGAUGAACAAACACAUUCUCUGCUCACCUUAAUAUGUACAGUCUAGCCUUUAUCUCUCUCGCCUCAUCUUUGCCACCUUGGUUUCUUUCAGUCCUUGAUAAGCCUUUUACUACGAGGUCUCUGCGCAUGCUGUUUCUGUCUGGGUCCAUCUUCUCUACUUUGUCUAAUUUGAGAUCUCGGCUCAGACAGCACUUCUGCAGAGAAGCCACCUUUCCUGACUGAGCACCCAUUAUAUGUGUAAUUGCACUGUUUUACCACAGAGCUAGAAAGUCAGCUGCCAUGUAAGAGUCCUUUGAAAAGCUGGUAUUCACCAGCUUCUAAAGAUUUACCUCAUUCCCCUAUGGCCAAGCAGGUUCAAUUCUACUGACAACUGAUUAAAGGGCCUCAGCUGGUAAAUAUUAAUGUCUGUGUGUCAUAAUGUACCCAAAAUAGAGUAAGGCCAUAGGCAUAUCCUGUUUUUUAAUAAUACCCCAGUAAAUGAGGAUAAAGAGAUUGCUGGUUUUGUUCUUUUUAAAAAAUUUUGAAACAGAAAAAUCAUAGAAACAAGUGUCAGAUUUCCUAAUCAUUUGCUAGUGGACCCUAAAGAUAUAAUAUAGUGCACAAAUAUUUGACACUAAAUUUAGCUUGAAAAAGUAUUAAAUGAACAUAGUGGAUUUGCAGAGAAUUUGUUCAAAUUUGAGACAUCUGUUAACUAAAAUAAUGUGGGAUUUUCUUUUUUUGGUAAUCUAUAAAUGUCUUUAUAGUUAAGAAAAUUAGUAAAACAUCUUUGUGUAUAAAUUAUAGCUUGCAUAGCCUCUCUUACUAGCAGUCAUUGCGCUGAUGAAUAGGUACCAGGAUAAAACUUAUAACCAGAUUUAAGUGAGUAAUUUUAACAUGUUUACUCUGGGGCU
This 3108-nucleotide long non-coding RNA is filed under the name Equus caballus (horse). Its description in RNAcentral is "lncRNA (ENSECAG00000051906.1)". Lineage: Eukaryota; Metazoa; Chordata; Mammalia; Perissodactyla; Equidae. The record is from RNAcentral.